UUUAAUAUUUCUGUAUUGUGGGUUUGUAAAGAAUUAACUCAUUUUUACAGUUUAUAUUUUAAUUGUGUUUAGGAACAUAUGAACUUUAUCACACUGUUUUUCACUAGAGACAGAACUUAAUUUGCCCUGAGCUGUGCUUUGUACGUAGUAAAUUUUUGUUAGGAAUCUGGUAAUACAUGAUCUGUGUAUUGUUUUCAAUGUAAUUAUUAAGAAUAAACUUACGACUAGUUCUUCUUGAUCUUUAACUCUUGAUUGGAGAGUUUAUUGGAGAUUUGAUUUGUGAGCAUCUUGACUAUUUAAAACAAUCUUUUCUAAAGGGAUUUUCUUUGAUCACCUUUAUAUAAUUAUAUUUAUGUGAAGUGUUUUGGCAUGUAUGCAUUUAAAAGGCAAAUUACAUAUUUAGUGGAAGUGCUGAAUUAAUUUAUGCUAUUACUGACAUUUUAUCUUUACAUAGUUUGCACAGUUAUGCUACUUGACAGAUCUGCUCUAGUGAAUGAAUAUAAUAUUUUCUCACAGGUUGAGGUGUCUGUUGGACACAUACAUAGAGAUACCUAUUUAAUAGCUGGAAACAUGAAUCUGCACCCACAGAAAAGGAUGCUUAUUUGAUCUUUCAAAGUAAGUGUGACUACUUCUAAAGCAUUUACAAAUUAUGGUCAUUUGUAUGAGGUGUCGAUCUCUUACUGUUCACAAAAGGAUGAUCUAGUGGUCAGAAACUACUUAAAGAGGGAGUUUGUCUAAACAAAUUUGAGAUAACCACUAAUGGUAAAAGUAUAUAAGAUAAUACCACUUGGACCAUGAGACUGGCUCCUAAAUCUGAUGUAAUACCUUAAAAAAUUCUUUUUUAACCUUAGUUAAUAGUGAUAGCACUUUUAUCCCUUUGUUUAAUUACGAAACACUGUGACUUGGAGGUCCUAUUAGGGAGACUAGAAAGGAAACCGUCACCUUUAUUUUGUGAACCAUUCUAAAACUUAGCUUUCUUUUAAAAAGCCUAACAUUUCUAACUAUAUUUAAGUCAAUAAAACUGAGUAAAACUCACAUAAUAUGGGACCUCACAGCAUUCUUAACAAUUUUUUUUCAUUUUUCAACAGCUUUACAAUUACAAAAGUUAUGCAAAAGCUGCUGUGAAAGUAUAAUUUCUCAUGAGGGAUGUGGUUAAUUAUAGACUGCAUGUACUAGUGCAUGACAAACAUUAAAGCUUUACAUUAUUAGGAUAUUUCAUCUCAUCUAAAACUUUAAUUACUUCAGCUCCAUGAGAUCUUUUGUGCACCAAUGCUAAUCAGCAGUUCUCCUUUGAGUUUUUGAAAGUUUUAUUGCUGUCCAUGCUAUGUCUCUGAAACUGGAAGAUUUUCUUUUUGGAAGUAGAUAUUAAUUUAAUUGUCUUUAAAUGGUGUCUUUAAAGAAAGGAAAAAUAUUAAAAUACAAAUAAACAUGUUAAAGAUAAAAUACAUAGAAACAUAAAAAAAUUUCUGGGGUUAUAAUAGUACCAUUUGUUAGUUAUGAGGAUGGGGACAGAUACAGGUUGUUUACUGAGUGUUUUGUAACUAUAAGCCUGGGUAAGAUUCUGGGGUAUUUUACUGUUGUCUGCUUACUAGAUCCCAAAUUGACCACUUAAACUUGAGUUGUUAAUACAUGCCUUACCUUGAUUCCCUAAAAAUAUUACUAUUCUAUUUCUGUUCGUUUGUAUUCUUUUGUUUUUUUGGUUGUAUACAUCAGUAUAACUAAAUUGAAUAUCUCAAAUGAUACCUGGAGACUGGAAAAUGAAGAUAAGUAUUUCCUAAUCUCCAAAUUCAUUGGUUUAUUUGUUGUUGUUUCUCAUUUGCUCAUCUAUUUAAACUUGGCACAUGCAAGCUGUCUUAGCACUUAACACAGUAGUUGUCCAUUUCCGCCCCCUACCAUGGGCACUAUGUUUUAAAAUGUUUUAAAAUAUUGUCAAAAUAUUUAUUAAUAAUAACAGCUAAAAAUUAAAUAGCACUCACUGUGUACCCUGCACUCUUCUUAGUUCUUCAUAUACACUAGAUUAUUUAUAUGCACUAGCUUAUUUAAUUCUUAAAGUAAUUCUGUGAGGUGAAUUUUAGUGCUGUCUUCAUUUUAAAUGUGAGGAAGCUGAGAUGCAAAUAUACGUAAAAAUAAAAGCUAAAUUCCCUUAUUGAUUGCUUACUCUUUGUUAGGCACUGUGCUACGUGCUUUAUAUGUAUUAUUCCCCAAACUUAAUAACUGUGAGAUGAGUAUGAUUUUCUUUUUUUACAUAUCUAGUAUGGGUUUAGUAGAUUAGCUAAAACUUCAAGGUCACAGUAACUGCCAGUUAAAUAGCAAGUGCCUACUGGUACCAGAAAGGAUAUACAUUGGAGACCACCUUUAUUUGGAAUUAGUUUACCUUAAAAGUCUACCAAAUUGUUUAUAUAGUAGUCCUCUCUUAUCCAUGGCUUCACAUUCCACAGUUUUUAAGUUACUCAAAGUCAACCAUGGUCCAAAAUAUUAAAUGGAAAAUUUCACAUACUUUGAGAGAGAAAGGGGAGGGGUGCAGAGACUACCUUCACAUACCUUUUAUCACAAUUUAUUGUUUUAAUUGUUCUAUGAGUUAUUGCUGUUAAUCACUGUGCCUAACUUACAGUUGAACUUUAUCAUAGGUACACACAUAUGUAUGUAUAGGAAAAAAUGUAGUAUAUCUAGGGUUCAGUACAAUCUGCAGUUUCAGACAUCCACUGGGGUCUCAGAACACAUUCCUCUUGGAUAAGGGGGAACUGCUAUAAUGAUAGUUUGCAGAGACAGAGAUUCUCUCUAAAUCCAGGUUGGCAGUUCUUUAACCUCUAGUGUUGGACUAGAAUUCCUACACCUCAUUCAAAGGAAUCAGUAACUAUAGGCCCAUGAACCAGCUCCUGAUUUUAUAAUUAAAUUUAUUAGAUUAUAACCAUGCCCAUCCAUUUAUGAAUUUUCAGUGGCUGCUUUGGAGCUGCAAAGGCUCCAAAGUUGACUGGUUGCAACAUAGACUAAUUAUCCUACAAAGCCUAAAAUAUUUACUAUCUGGCCCCUUGAGAAAAAGUUUGCUGAUCCUGGAGUAAAAUAUUGUUUCUUUAGGUGACUUAACAAUGAAGAAUUGGUGUGCAUUUGUGACCUUAUGCAAAAACAUA
Long non-coding RNA from Phyllostomus discolor (pale spear-nosed bat), 3128 nucleotides. RefSeq lists it as uncharacterized. The transcript is spliced from 2 exons. NCBI's taxonomy places the organism in Eukaryota, Metazoa, Chordata, Mammalia, Chiroptera, Phyllostomidae. The record is from RefSeq and is a predicted model, not a curated record.